RNAcentral lists this ribosomal RNA (1372 nucleotides) under uncultured bacterium. RNAcentral's name for it is "bacterial SSU rRNA". It matches the Rfam family "Bacterial small subunit ribosomal RNA", at positions 28 to 1381 of the family's 1533-position model. The record is from RNAcentral.
GAUGAACGCUGGCGGCGUGCCUAAUACAUGCAAGUCGAGCGAACGGACGAGAAGCUUGCUUCUCUGAUGUUAGCGGCGGACGGGUGAGUAACACGUGGAUAACCUACCUAUAAGACUGGGAUAACUUCGGGAAACCGGAGCUAAUACCGGAUAAUAUUUUGAACCGCAUGGUUCAAAAGUGAAAGACGGUCUUGCUGUCACUUAUAGAUGGAUCCGCGCUGCAUUAGCUAGUUGGUAAGGUAACGGCUUACCAAGGCAACGAUGCAUAGCCGACCUGAGAGGGUGAUCGGCCACACUGGAACUGAGACACGGUCCAGACUCCUACGGGAGGCAGCAGUAGGGAAUCUUCCGCAAUGGGCGAAAGCCUGACGGAGCAACGCCGCGUGAGUGAUGAAGGUCUUCGGAUCGUAAAACUCUGUUACUAGGGAAGAACAUAUGUGUAAGUAACUGUGCACAUCUUGACGGUACCUAAUCAGAAAGCCACGGCUAACUACGUGCUAGCAGCCGCGGUAAUACGUAGGUGGCAAGCGUUAUCCGGAAUUAUUGGGCGUAAAGCGCGCGUAGGCGGUUUUUUAAGUCUGAUGUGAAAGCCCACGGCUCAACCGUGGAGGGUCAUUGGAAACUGGAAAACUUGAGUGCAGAAGAGGAAAGUGGAAUUCCAUGUGUAGCGGUGAAAUGCGCAGAGAUAUGGAGGAACACCAGUGGCGAAGGCGACUUUCUGGUCUGUAACUGACGCUGAUGUGCGAAAGCGUGGGGAUCAAACAGGAUUAGAUACCCUGGUAGUCCACGCCGUAAACGAUGAGUGCUAAGUGUUAGGGGGUUUCCGCCCCUUAGUGCUGCAGCUAACGCAUUAAGCACUCCGCCUGGGGAGUACGACCGCAAGGUUGAAACUCAAAGGAAUUGACGGGGACCCGCACAAGCGGUGGAGCAUGUGGUUUAAUUCGAAGCAACGCGAAGAACCUUACCAAAUCUUGACAUCCUUUGACAACUCUAGAGAUAGAGCUUUCCCCUUCGGGGGACAAAGUGACAGGUGGUGCAUGGUUGUCGUCAGCUCGUGUCGUGAGAUGUUGGGUUAAGUCCCGCAACGAGCGCAACCCUUAAGCUUAGUUGCCAUCAUUAAGUUGGGCACUCUAAGUUGACUGCCGGUGACAAACCGGAGGAAGGUGGGGAUGACGUCAAAUCAUCAUGCCCCUUAUGAUUUGGGCUACACACGUGCUACAAUGGACAAUACAAAGGGCAGCGAAACCGCGAGGUCAAGCAAAUCCCAUAAAGUUGUUCUCAGUUCGGAUUGUAGUCUGCAACUCGACUACAUGAAGCUGGAAUCGCUAGUAAUCGUAGAUCAGCAUGCUACGGUGAAUACGUUCCCGGGUCU